Molecule: ribosomal RNA, 1311 nt
Filed under: Triticum aestivum (bread wheat)
Lineage: Eukaryota; Viridiplantae; Streptophyta; Magnoliopsida; Poales; Poaceae
Description: partial small subunit ribosomal RNA
Source: RNAcentral
AUGGCGCCACCGCAGCAAGCCUCGCCACGCCCGAUUCUCACCGUCCGCGAGACCACUCUCGUAGCGCCCUCGACGAGCACCGGCGCCGCCCCGCCGGAGUGCUCCCUACCGCUCACCUUCUUCGACAUCUUCUGGCUCAACCUCCCACCGGUCGAGCGCGUCUUCUUCUACCGCCUCGCCGCCGACGCCGACGUCCCCGCCAUCCUCUCCAACCUCAAGGCCUCACUGUCCCAAGCCCUCCACGCCUACUACCCGCUCGCCGGCCGCCUCCGCCUCGCGCCUGGCACGGCUGACCGCUACGAGAUCCACUACCAGCCGGGCGACGGCGUCACCUUCACCGUCGCCGAGUACCGUGGUGACGUCGACGUCGACGAGCUGGCCGUCGACCAGCCGCGGGAGAUCACCAGGAUCGCGCCGCUCGCGCCGCCACUCCCGAAGGGCGGCGCCGUGCUCGCGCUGCAGGCCACCGUGAUGCGCCGUGGCCUCGCCAUCGGCAUGGCCGUGCACCACACCGCCUGCGACGGGGCGGCCUCCACGCGCUUCCUGCACACCUGGGCGGCGGCGGCCAGCGCCGGUGCCGUCGAGCCACCACCACCUGUCAUCGACAGAAUCCUCGUGAAGGACCCAACGGCUCUCUACGACGUCUUCGUCAAAGCCAAGCCGACCGUCGGCGAGAUGGAUCGCGUCAAGACGUGGGAGCACCGACUUCUCGCCGGGCGGCGAGGCGCGGCGCCGCCGCGAUGCUCCUCGUUGGUGGCCACCUUCGGCUUCAUGUGGUCAUGCCACCAGCGAGCCAAAGACGAUGCAGGAAGCACCGGCGGCGACCCGACAUACUUGCUCUUCCCCGUCGACCACCGCUCGCGGAUGAAGCCCCCCGUCCCGGAGGAGUACCUCGGCAACUGCGUCGGCAUCGCCACGCAUGCCGCACCCAUGGACCAGCUCGCGGCAGCCGGCGCCAGUGGCCUCUUCGUCGCGUGCACGGCGGUAGCUGCGGCGAUCGACGAAGCGGUGCGCGGCAUCGGGUCACCUGAGACGGUUGCGUUGUGGAUGCAUCGGGUCAGGGAGGCUGGCGUUGCCGGUAUGUGGACGGUGGCCGGGUCGCCGAGGUUCCGCGUGUACGAGGUGGACUUUGGGUUCGGGCGGCCGGCCAAGGUGGAGAUCGUCUCCGUGGCGAGAACCGGCGCGAUGGCGGCGGCAGAGGGCCGGAGCAGCCGCGGAGGCAUCGAGGUGGGCAUCUCUCUGCCGGCGGCCGGCAUGCAGAGGUUCCAAAAGUGCUUCCAAGAUGCCAUUGACUGGCUUCAUCACCAGUAA